RNAcentral lists this ribosomal RNA (467 nucleotides) under uncultured bacterium. RNAcentral's name for it is "partial 16S ribosomal RNA". It matches the Rfam family "Bacterial small subunit ribosomal RNA", at positions 29 to 507 of the family's 1533-position model. The record is from RNAcentral.
ACGAACGCUGGCGGCGUGCUUAACACAUGCAAGUCGAACGGAAAGGCCCUGCUUUUGUGGGGUGCUCGAGUGGCGAACGGGUGAGUAACACGUGAGUAACCUGCCCUUGACUUUGGGAUAACUUCAGGAAACUGGGGCUAAUACCGGAUAGGAGCUCCUGCUGCAUGGUGGGGGUUGGAAAGUUUCGGCGGUUGGGGAUGGACUCGCGGCUUAUCAGCUUGUUGGUGGGGUAGUGGCUUACCAAGGCUUUGACGGGUAGCCGGCCUGAGAGGGUGACCGGCCACAUUGGGACUGAGAUACGGCCCAGACUCCUACGGGAGGCAGCAGUGGGGAAUAUUACACAAUGGGCGGAAGCCUGAUGCAGCAACGCCGCGUGCGGGAUGACGGCCUUCGGGUUGUAAACCGCUUUCGCCUGUGACGAAGCGUGAGUGACGGUAAUGGGUAAAGAAGCACCGGCUAACUACGUG